UACGUAGGGGGCGAGCGUUGUCCGGAGUUACUGGGCGUAAAGGGCGCGCAGGCGGUCUGGUAAGUUUGGAGUGACAGUGCUCGGCUUAACUGAGCAAGGCCUUCGAAAACUGCUAGACUUGAGCACUCAAGAGGGACAUAGAAUUCCGGGUGGAGUGGUGAAAUGCGUAGAUAUUGGAAGGAACGCCGGAGGCGAAAGCGGCGCACUGGAUUUCUUCUGACGCUGAGGCGCGAAAGCUAGGGGAGCAAACGGG
RNAcentral lists this ribosomal RNA (253 nucleotides) under uncultured bacterium. RNAcentral's name for it is "partial 16S ribosomal RNA". It matches the Rfam family "Bacterial small subunit ribosomal RNA", at positions 524 to 776 of the family's 1533-position model. The record is from RNAcentral.